This is a long non-coding RNA of Zingiber officinale, 1582 nucleotides long. RefSeq lists it as uncharacterized. Lineage: Eukaryota; Viridiplantae; Streptophyta; Magnoliopsida; Zingiberales; Zingiberaceae. The record is from RefSeq and is a predicted model, not a curated record. The transcript is spliced from 6 exons.
UUCCCCCUUUACCUUCUCGAUCCUUAAGCAUUUUCGUCCAACCCCUAAACCUGCCGCCCUUCUCGAUCUCUUCACCUACUUCAAGUUUUUUUCUCCUUUCCUCUCCAAGCCCUAAACUUGCCGCCCCUUCUCCUUUCCUCUCCAAGCCCUAAACCCAUCGCCCCUUCACAACUCGUAGCGAACUAGUCACGGGGAGGGAGAGAGAUGGGCAACAGAGGCCACAAGGUUGGAAAACCUUACCAUGAUGAUUUUAGCAAAGCCGAUUCUAAUCUUUCCAUCCUCGCGCAAUUCCCUCUCGGUUCUUGCAUACUCGAUCUUCUUCCAUAUCACAACUUUUCCCUUUAUUUACCGGAAGAGGAGGUGGCCCUCUCCUAUUUGUCCAUCGAUGAGGCGACGAGAGCCCUAUUUCCUCGCCUUUCCUUUCUCUUUAAGGUUUGGUUUCCAUCCUUGUAUAUAUUUGGUUUCCACACUCCAAAGGCAUCUCCAUCUCGCCGCCGCUGCAUCCAUUACUAUAAUUUUGGGUCAUGUAGUCCUUGCUUUAAUUCUGUGGAGUCAUGCUAGUUCUCUCGAUCUCACGAGCAAAGUUGCAAUAACAUCUUUCUACAUGUUUAUUUGGAAGCUCUUCUAUGCAGAAUACUUGCUCAUUCCACCAGUGAGAUGAUUCCUGCAAACAAGUUGAAAGUGUAGAAGGAAGCUACUCCAAUCUUCAAGAUGGAUUAUCAACAUAUGAAAGUGUAGAUGGAAUCUACAGAUGGUUUCGACCAGAACCUGCAGCCAGAUUGUAAAUGUGGCUCCUGUUGAUUGGCUGCUCCAUGGACAGCAUGCAGUGGAGCUUUACCGUGAACAGGGACGCAGGAUAUCCAUAUCGCAUGACAAAUUGUUGCUGGGAGCUGCAAGAGAAGCCAUUAGAGCAUAGUGGAAUAUUAUAUUCCUGAGGAAAAACACUCCAGAUAAUUUAAGCUGCCUCAAAUGCAGAGUCCGUUGAAAGUCAUUUACGUGGCAUGCCAGCAAUUGCAUUGGAGGGUGGUGUCAUGAUAUUGGUUGAGAACAAGUGACAAACAAGCCUCUUUUAAAGACAGUCUUCCAGGUGAUGUUGAGAUUGUUUAGUCCUCAUAAGACCACUCUACUAUUUGUUAUACGAGAUAAAACAAGGGUGAGCAUUUUCAUAUGUGCAUUUUUAAACUUCUGUAUUGGAGACUCCUAAUCCAAUGAAAAUGAGUAUUCAUGUGCAUUUUUUAUAUGUCGAGAUCUCCUGGUGCCUUAUCAAAGGGAUGAAAAGAUUGGACUUUUUGAUGGAGCUGGUGUGGGAAGACUGGAUUUAUUAUGGAAUUGAUGAUCAACAAUGUUAGAAAAGGUUGACAUGGAAGAAUCAGCAAGUGAGAAAGAGGAGUCCAAUGACAUUCUACAAGUUGAAGAUUGUGAUGGGGCAUGGGUUGACAAUAAUUACUUGCAAUCCUACAUGUCAUGCACCACCAUCACAAGUUUCUAGUCUUUUGACUAUUGUUCAUUAGUUGUAAAUGAAGUUUAUUUAUUUAUUUGUAUUGAGAUAAAUUUUAUUUGAAUAUUAGACAUGUUUCUUCUU